This 468-nucleotide ribosomal RNA is filed under the name uncultured bacterium. Its description in RNAcentral is "partial 16S ribosomal RNA". It matches the Rfam family "Bacterial small subunit ribosomal RNA", at positions 28 to 507 of the family's 1533-position model. The record is from RNAcentral.
GACGAACGCUGGCGGCGUGCUUAACACAUGCAAGUCGAACGGAAAGGCCCUGCUUUUGUGGGGUGCUCGAGUGACGAACGGGUGAGUAACACGUGAGUAACCUGCCCUUGACUUUGGGAUAACUUCAGGAAACUGGGGCUAAUACCGGAUAGGAGCUCCUGCUGCAUGGUGGGGGUUGGAAAGUUUCGGCGGUUGGGGAUGGACUCGCGGCUUAUCAGCUUGUUGGUGGGGUAGUGGCUUACCAAGGCUUUGACGGGUAGCCGGCCUGAGAGGGGGACCGGCCACAUUGGGACUGAGAUACGGCCCAGACGCCUACGGGAGGCAGCAGUGGGGAAUAUUGCACAAUGGGCGGAAGCCUGAUGCAGCAACGCCGCGUGCGGGAUGACGGCCUUCGGGUUGUAAACCGCUUUCGCCUGUGACGAAGCGUGAGUGACGGUAAUGGGUAAAGAAGCACCGGCUAACUACGUG